UGUGACAUACCACUUGUUGCCUCGGCGGAUCAGCCCGCUCCCGGUAAAACGGGACGGCCCGCCAGAGGACCCCUAAACUCUGUUUCUAUAUGUAACUUCUGAGUAAAACCAUAAAUAAAUCAAAACUUUCAACAACGGAUCUCUUGGUUCUGGCAUCGAUGAAGAACGCAGCAAAAUGCGAUAAGUAAUGUGAAUUGCAGAAUUCAGUGAAUCAUCGAAUCUUUGAACGCACAUUGCGCCCGCCAGUAUUCUGGCGGGCAUGCCUGUUCGAGCGUCAUUUCAACCCUCAAGCACAGCUUGGUGUUGGGACUCGCGUUAAUUCGCGUUCCUCAAAUUGAUUGGCGGUCACGUCGAGCUUCCAUAGCGUAGUAGUAAAACCCUCGUUACUGGUAAUCGUCGCGGCCACGCCGUUAAACCCCAACUUCUGAAUGUUGACCUCGGAUCAGGUAGGAAUACCCGCUGAACUUAAGCAUAU
This 475-nucleotide ribosomal RNA is filed under the name Fusarium oxysporum. RNAcentral describes it as "eukaryotic LSU rRNA". The stretch from base 124 to 277 matches the Rfam family "5.8S ribosomal RNA". The record is from RNAcentral. Lineage: Eukaryota; Fungi; Ascomycota; Sordariomycetes; Hypocreales; Nectriaceae.